Molecule: ribosomal RNA, 380 nt
Filed under: Timon lepidus (ocellated lizard)
Lineage: Eukaryota; Metazoa; Chordata; Lepidosauria; Squamata; Lacertidae
Description: partial 16S ribosomal RNA
Rfam family: Bacterial large subunit ribosomal RNA
Source: RNAcentral
ACUGGAAUGAAUGGCUAAAUGAGGACUAAACUGUCUCUUGCAGGUAACCAAUGAAAUUGAUAUCCCAGUACAAAAGCUGGGAUAAAUCCAUAAGACGAGAAGACCCUGUGGAGCUUUAAAACCAAGCCCACCAAAUAUGGCCCUUGGAUUUUCAGUUGGGGCGACUCUGGAGUAAAACAAAACCUCCAAGAAAAACUUUAUUAAGAUCAACACACCAAAAUAUCAACACAACCCAGCAAUACCCACCCAAUUUGCCUGAUUAACGAACCAAGUUACCCCAGGGAUAACAGCGCCAUCCCCUUUUAGAGUCCCUAUCGACAAGGGGGUUUACGACCUCGAUGUUGGAUCAGGACACCCCAAUGGUGCAGCCGCCAUUAAAG